AGUGAACGCUGGCGGUAGGCCUAACACAUGCAAGUCGAACGGCAGCACAGUAAGAGCUUGCUCUUACGGGUGGCGAGUGGCGGACGGGUGAGGAAUACAUCGGCAUCUACUUUUUCGUGGGGGAUAACGUAGGGAAACUUACGCUAAUACCGCAUACGACCUACGGGUGAAAGCAGGGGAUCUUCGGACCUUGCGCGAUUGAAUGAGCCGAUGUCGGAUUAGCUAGUUGGCGGGGUAAAGGCCCACCAAGGCGACGAUCCGUAGCUGGUCUGAGAGGAUGAUCCGCCACACUGGAACUGAGACACGGUCCAGACUCCUACGGGAGGCAGCAGUGGGGAAUAUUGGACAAUGGGCGCAAGCCUGAUCCAGCCAUACCGCGUGGGUGAAGAAGGCCUUCGGGUUGUAAAGCCCUUUUGUUGGGAAAGAAAAGCAGCAGGUUAAUACCCCGCUGUUCUGACGGUACCCAAAGAAUAAGCACCGGCUAACUUCGUG
Molecule: ribosomal RNA, 492 nt
Filed under: uncultured bacterium
Lineage: Bacteria
Description: partial 16S ribosomal RNA
Rfam family: Bacterial small subunit ribosomal RNA
Source: RNAcentral